Molecule: long non-coding RNA, 952 nt
Organism: Neopsephotus bourkii (Bourke's parrot)
Lineage: Eukaryota; Metazoa; Chordata; Aves; Psittaciformes; Psittacidae
Exons: 3
Source: RefSeq, a predicted model, not a curated record
AUUAUCAUGUCCAAAGCACUCCUAGGGAGCCAACAGGGAUUUUUCCCAUUAUCCCCCAAAUAUUCUCCAGCAGGAAAUCUUGUAGCAAAAUUAAAGCUCUCUUGCAACAUUUCCAGAGUUUUCCCACUUGGGCCCAGGCAGAAACAGAGCAGGAACAACCUUGCUCAGGGAAAGAUGAGUGUUGUCUCGUGGUUGGAGCACAGGGUUUGUGGUCAGGAGCUGUGGGUUCUCAUUCCAGCUUUGCCACUGAAUCAUUUUGAGAGCUUCGCUGGUCACUUCGUAUUAGAAGCAGUUGGUAAUUUUCCAUUGGGAUGCUUUUCUGAUGGAAAACACUUCUACAAAACCAAAAUCUGGGUGAAAAUUGACUUUCCAUUGGGAAUACCUUGUGUCUAGGCAGGGUGGGAAGGGACAUUAGACCCAAACUGGAUCAUUUGGUGUUUUCUCGCAUUAAUCCACAUGUUUUGCACUGAAUAGAUAGAUCUUUUUAAGAAAUACCACCCUCCUGACUGGAAUUCCAAGUCAGCUCCAUGCACAGUGGGAGUGUGUGCUCUCAUGCUCUGCUCUGCUCCCCGGGAGGUCUGCACCUCCUCUGGUGGGAUGCCGAUUUCUCUCUUGUGAGACGUGCACAUCCCAAUCUGAGUCAGACCAGUCCAAGCAUGUGGGCACCUGGCCCAGGGGAACAAAUUGUAGUGUAAGGCUACCACGCUGACCAAGGAAGUACACCACAGAGAUUUUCCCACUUACAUGUGGCAUUUUCAAGAAUUUCUAUGCAGAAAACUUCAUCUAAACCCAAUCCAUGCACCAAAACAAUAGAAGCAGAACUUUGCACAGAGCCCCCGACCACAGAGGCUUACUGACUGCAGCUCCUCCCAGCUCAGCUUUCAGAAUCCAUCCCAGCCAUUUGCAGCUUGUGCAGCAUGCAGAAGCCCACACUGGUACUCUGGGUUGAGCA